UAAGAUUAGAAAAAUAUACAAAAUCAAACUCAUCAUUCGUAUUCAUAAAAACGCAAACCCUUUUUCUUCUUCUCAAUUUCUUCUUCACGCGACUUCACUUCAAAUUCUUCUUCUCUUCACUGCAAACUCAAUCUUCACUGCAAAUCGUUCUUCACUACAAACCCUUCAUUCAACAAAGGAACCCCUUUGUUAAACUCUUCUCACGAACCCAGAAAUCCCUUCGUCAAACUCGAAUCCUUCACAUAAAACCUAGAAAUCGCACUCUUCACUGCCGAGAAAUCGAACCCCUCCCUGCAAAUUUGAAGCCCUAACUUUCUGGAAGGCAAUAUUCAUUCGUAUGUAUGUAAUUUGUAAACCCUAACUUUUAUUUUUUCUGAUAUUUCAGUUUCAGUUUCUGUUGCUAUUUCUAUUAUUUUUUGUUAUUGUUGUUAUUAUUAUCAUUAUUAUUAUUAUUAUUAUUAUUAUUAUUAUUAUUAUUAUUAUUAUUAUUAUUAUUAUUAUUGUUGUUGUUGUUGUUGUUGUUGUUGUUGUUGUUGUUGUUGUUGUUGUUGUUGUUGUUGUUGUUGUUGUUGUUGUUGCAAGAGGGUGUGAAUAAGGUUUCAAUUCGUGAAUGUGAAGAUAUCAUCAAAGCACAGUUAUUCCAGUUGCAUACAUACAGUGUUGCCCUUAAGCAGCAACAAUACCUACUCCCUGACACACUUCGUAAUUUAGAGACAGAAAAGGUUGACUCGGAGAACACGCUUGUUGAAGACCAGAGACAACCCAAGGAUGAAGGGGAUCCCUAUCUAUCAACACAUGAAGACAAUGUGGCAAGCCUUACAAUUUUACAACAAGGUGGUGUGGUUUCUUCAAUUUUGGAUGCUUACAAAUAUAUUUCCUAUAACGUAGGGAGCUGGAAUUUGUUAACGAACCAAAUAGUUUACAUGAAAAGCAAUUGGAGCAAUUGUUGAGACACCAAAAUAGAAUCCAAGUAUGAUGAGAUUGUUGCAUAUAGAGUGGUAUCAAUAAUUCUGCAUAAUGGUGGAGAAGCUGCUAGUUUUAGGAUCAUCAAAGGGAAGGUGUCUGCUGCAAUUUGGUGACAAAAUUCAGAAUCAGAGUUGAUCUUUAGAAUUUUCAAGAGACUCCUUAAUCGAAUGUUGCAAGUCAAGAGGUGGUUGGGAUCCUUGCUGCUUUGAUAUGUUGAGUUAUGUUUAUACUCAUGAGAUCUAACUUAUUAUACAUUGAUAUAGAUGAAUUAUGUUACCAACUAUUUUAAUAAAUUGGCAUAUGGCUUUUUCAAUUUUGUCUUGCUGGAGAAACCAUGUAUAUAUAAUCAUGAAUUUUCUUAUAGCGAAACGAUAAUUAUUUACUUGGGUUAA
Molecule: long non-coding RNA, 1358 nt
Organism: Vicia villosa (hairy vetch)
Lineage: Eukaryota; Viridiplantae; Streptophyta; Magnoliopsida; Fabales; Fabaceae
Exons: 5
Source: RefSeq, a predicted model, not a curated record